Molecule: long non-coding RNA, 509 nt
Organism: Nycticebus coucang (slow loris)
Lineage: Eukaryota; Metazoa; Chordata; Mammalia; Primates; Lorisidae
Exons: 3
Source: RefSeq, a predicted model, not a curated record
GUUGCCCUUAAGAAGCUGGCCCUGUGGCAGCUGAAGGAUGGCAUCCCCAGCUAGGCCCUGCACAAGAUCAAGGGUCUGCAGGAGAUUGAGGACAGUACAUCUGACCUGAAAUCUGCCAGCCUGCUCAUCAGCACCUCAGUCCAGCUCAAGAUAGUGGAGUUUUCCCCAGAUGGCAGCCACCUCUACAUAUACCAGGUGGCCACCAGGUCUGGAAUGAGGUUUCAAAAACCAAGGAACUAUGGAGGUGAGUGAAGGAAGAGCCAGCUAGAGGCGGUCCUACAAAGGAGAGCAUCCCAUGAAGGAGAGAUGGGUGCAGUGGAUGUCUUUUGAGCACUCUGCAUUUCUGCUGGCUCCAUUGAGUAUGUAAGAAAAGAUUAUCCACAGCCACUACCAGGAGGAAACUUUUCUCUGGUUAGGGAUGCAAAAUAACUUUUCUCCUAAAUAUUGAAAUACAGAAUUUUUUCCCCCCAGUUCAGCACUUGGUGUGCACUGAAGUUUUUUUGUUGUUG